GACGAACGCUGGCGGCGUGCCUAAUACAUGCAAGUAGAACGCUGAAGGCGGAGCUUGCUCUUCUGGAUGAGUUGCGAACGGGUGAGUAACGCGUAGGUAACCUGCCUGGUAGCGGGGGAUAACUAUUGGAAACGAUAGCUAAUACCGCAUAAGAGUAGAUGUUGCAUGACAUUUGCUUAAAAGGUGCAAUUGCAUCACUACCAGAUGGACCUGCGUUGUAUUAGCUAGUUGGUGGGGUAACGGCUCACCAAGGCGACGAUACAUAGCCGACCUGGGAGGGGGAGCGGCCACGCUGGGACGGAGACACGGCCCAGACGCCUACGGGAGGCAGCAGGAGGGAAUCUUCGGCGAUGGAAGGAAGGCUGACCGAGCGACGCCGCGUGAAAGAAGAAGGUUUUCGGAUCGUGAAGCUCUGUUGUAAGAGAAGAACGAGAGUGAGAGUGGAAAGUUCACACUGUGACGGUAUCUUAACAGAAAGGGACGGCUAACUACGUG
Molecule: ribosomal RNA, 495 nt
Filed under: uncultured bacterium
Lineage: Bacteria
Description: partial 16S ribosomal RNA
Rfam family: Bacterial small subunit ribosomal RNA
Source: RNAcentral